Molecule: ribosomal RNA, 451 nt
Filed under: uncultured bacterium
Lineage: Bacteria
Description: partial 16S ribosomal RNA
Rfam family: Bacterial small subunit ribosomal RNA
Source: RNAcentral
GUGGGGAAUAUUGGACAAUGGGGGGAACCCUGAUCCAGCCAUGCCUCGUGUGUGAAGAAGGCCUUUUGGUUGUAAAGCACUUUAAGCGAGGAGGAGGCUACCGAGAUUAAUACUCUUGGAUAGUGGACGUUACUCGCAGAAUAAGCACCGGCUAACUCUGUGCCAGCAGCCGCGGUAAUACAGAGGGUGCAAGCGUUAAUCGGAUUUACUGGGCGUAAAGCGCGCGUAGGUGGCCAAUUAAGUCAAAUGUGAAAUCCCCGAGCUUAACUUGGGAAUUGCAUUCGAUACUGGUUGGCUAGAGUAUGGGAGAGGAUGGUAGAAUUCCAGGUGUAGCGGUGAAAUGCGUAGAGAUCUGGAGGAAUACCGAUGGCGAAGGCAGCCAUCUGGCCUAAUACUGACACUGAGGUGCGAAAGCAUGGGGAGCAAACAGGAUUAGAUACCCCGGUAGUCC